RNAcentral lists this ribosomal RNA (586 nucleotides) under uncultured bacterium. RNAcentral's name for it is "partial 16S ribosomal RNA". It matches the Rfam family "Bacterial small subunit ribosomal RNA", at positions 355 to 1375 of the family's 1533-position model. The record is from RNAcentral.
UGGGGAAUUUUGGACAAUGGGCGAAAGCCUGAUCCAGCAAUGCCGCGUGUGUGAAGAAGGCCUUCGGGUUGUAAAGCACUUUUGUCCGGAAAGAAAUCCUCUGGGUUAAUACCUCGGGGGGAUGACGGUACCGGAAGAAUAAGCACCGGCUAACUACGUGCCAGCAGCCGCGGUAAUACGUAGGGUGCAAGCGUUAAUCGGAAUUACUGGGCGUAAAGCGUGCGCAGGCGGUUUUGUAAGACGGAUGUGAAAUCCCCGGGCUUAACCUGGGAACUGCAUUCGUGACUGCAAGGCUAGAGUAUGGCAGAGGGGGGUAGAAUUCCACGUGUAGCAGUGAAAUGCGUAGAGAUGUGGAGGAAUACCGAUGGCGAAGGCAGCCCCCUGGGCCAAUACUGACGCUCAUGCACGAAAGCGUGGGGAGCAAACAGGAUUAGAUACCCUGGUAGUCCACGCCCUAAAACGAUGUCAACUAGUUGUUGGGGAUUCAUUUCCUUAGUAACGUAGCUAACGCGUGAAGUUGACCGCCUGGGGAGUACGGUCGCAAGAUUAAAACUUAAAUGAAUUGACGAGGUCAUAGCUGUUUCCU